This 284-nucleotide long non-coding RNA is filed under the name Sorghum bicolor (sorghum). RNAcentral describes it as "long non-coding RNA (SBIC_LNC002376)". The record is from RNAcentral. Lineage: Eukaryota; Viridiplantae; Streptophyta; Magnoliopsida; Poales; Poaceae.
CUUUUGCAUCUGGGCAAUCUCUGGUGGAGUGACCCUUCUCCUCUCCAUGGAAGAAACAAUACUGUUUCCGUGGUCGCUGACUUUGAUUUUUUCGCCAUCCCGCAUUUCGACCCCCUCUUCCGGCUUGAUUGGGUAUGCGUUCCGAGCUUCGCGCUUCCGCUGGUGGACGGUUAUUUUCCGGCCUGUCAAUUUUCGGUUGCUCGAUAUUCAUCAUCUGUCCACCAGCCUCUCGCUGUGGCCGGCGUUCAUCCUGUCUGAGGUUCUUCUUCUGUGAGUUUCUAUCA